CUGUCUUUGGCCACACAUAUACUAAAACUGGAACUAUUCAGAGAUUAGCAUGGCCCCUAUGCAAGGAUGACAUGCACAUUUGUGAGUGCUCCUUUUUUUUU
RNAcentral lists this small nuclear RNA (101 nucleotides) under Cebus imitator (Panamanian white-faced capuchin). Lineage: Eukaryota; Metazoa; Chordata; Mammalia; Primates; Cebidae. The record is from RNAcentral.